GUCUAACCUCCACUAUGUAGACAGGAGUUAACAUCUGAUUCCAGGACUGUGGUUAACGGGGGGUCCUAACCUCCACUAUGUAGACAGGAGUUAACAUCUGAUUCCAGGACUGUGGUUAACGGGGGUCCUAACCUCCACUAUGUAGACAGGAGUUAACAUCUGAUUCCAGGACUGUGGUUAACGGGGGUCCUAACCUCCACUAUGUAGAGACAGGAGUUAACAUCUGAUUCCAGGACUGUGGUUAACGGGGGGUCCUAACCUCCACUAUGUAGAGACAGGAGUUAACAUCUGAUUCCAGGACUGUGGUUAACGGGGGGGGUCCCUAACCUCCACUAUGUAGAGACAGGAGUUAACAUCUGAUUCCAGGACUGUGGUUAACGGGGGUCUAACCUCCACUAUGUAGAGACAGGAGUUAACAUCUGAUUCCAGGACUGUGGUUAACGGGGGUCUAACCUCCACUAUGUAGACAGGAGUUAACAUCUGAUUCCAGGACUGUGGUUAACAGGGGGGGGUCCUAACCUCCACUAUGUAGAGACAGGAGUUAACAUCUGAUUCCAGGACUGUGGUUAACGGGGGUCCCUAACCUCCACUAUGUAGAGACAGGAGUUAACAUCUGAUUCCAGGACUGUGGUUAACGGGGGUCCUAACCUCCACUAUGUAGAGACAGGAGUUAACAUCUGAUUCCAGGACUGUGGUUAACGGGGGAUAAAUGUUGGUCUUUAAUGUCACUGUCGUAAUCAUCUUUUCUAUUGUUAUUACUACACUCUAAUCACUGUUCAUAUCAGCUGUCUGUCACUACACAGCCUGUCUGUCGUUGACCUGUCCUAGACUGUCUGUCUGGAACGGACCUGUCCUAGACUACACAACCUGUCUGUCUGUCUGGAACUGACCUGUCCUAGACUACACAACCUGUCUGUCUGUCUGUCUGGAACUGACCUGUCCUAGACUACACAACCUGUCUGUCUGUCACUGACCUGUCCUAGACUACACAACCUGUCUGUCUGUCUGUCUGGAACUGACCUGUCCUAGACUACACAACCUGUCUGUCUGUCACUGACCUGUCCUAGACUACACAACCUGUCUGUCUGUCUGUCUGGAACUGACCUGUCCUAGACUACACAACCUGUCUGUCUGUCUGGAACUGACCUGUCCUAGACUACACAACCUGUCUGUCUGUCUGGAACUGACCUGUCCUAGACUACACAACCUGUCUGUCUGUCUGUCUGUAACUGACCUGUCCUAGACAGGCCACCGUUGGGACACUUUACUAACCAACAGGGACGGCAGGACACCUGACAGACAAACUGUUGUUGUUUACGACUUGUCUUAUUGACUGUUAAAUGGAAAUUCAUUUUAACGCCUUUCUGUGUUUCUGGACCGUUUUAUAAGCUAAACCAUGUAGACUGGACCAGCAGACUGUUACCCUGUAGACUGGACCACCAGACUGUUACCCUGUAGACUGGACCACCAGACUGUUACCCUGUAGACUGGACCAGCAGACUGUUACCCUGUAGACUGGACCACCAGACUGUUACCCUGUAGACUGGACCACCAGACUGUUACCCUGUAGACUGGACCACCAGACUGUUACCCUGUAGACUGGACCAGCAGACUGUUACCCUGUAGACUGGACCAGCAGACUGUUACCCUG
RNAcentral lists this long non-coding RNA (1651 nucleotides) under Salmo salar (Atlantic salmon). RNAcentral describes it as "lncRNA (ENSSSAG00000119765.1)". Lineage: Eukaryota; Metazoa; Chordata; Actinopteri; Salmoniformes; Salmonidae. The record is from RNAcentral.